GGUUUUUCUAGUGUGUUCUGAGUGGUUACUUAGGUGUUGCUAUGUGGUUGCUAGGGUGUUCUGGGUGGUUUCUAAGGUAUUCUGGGCUAUUUCUAGGGUGUUGUUAUGCAAUUGCUAGUGUGUUCUGAGUGGUUACUUAGGUGUUGCUAUGUGGUUGCUAGGUUGUUUCCGAUGCUAAAAAAAGCCAAAAACACAUUUAAUUCUUAUUUCAGUUCCACACAUCACUUGUAUCUCCUUCUCUGUAGACGAUCUGUGAAUCUCACCUCAUCUCUGACCGUUUCUGAUUCUGAAUGAAACUCUACAAGUCUGUCUAUAUCCAGAAACACUGGAAUAAACAAAAACAAUUAUAAGUUUAAAUCAGGACUUCAUCAAGAAAAGAAUAUGACAUAUAGGAGAGACCGGGGCAAGUUGUCACAGGGUCUGUAUUUCUAUGGAGGGAUUAUUGGGUCAGAUUAUAAACUAAAAUCUGACCCAAUAAUCCCUCCAUAUAUUUCAGUAACGUUUUUCAGUAAAUGACACAAAUACUUUAAAACUUAAAUAAACACAAUAAAACAAACUGACGUACAUUAAGAUACGAAUCAGCUAUAUAAUGAAGUUUAAUAGGGGCAAGUUGUCACAAAUUUUAAAAGCUAGAAGUUACAUUUUAGUAGUUUUUAAGUACUGUUUAUUAGAACAACGACACAAUGAUUUGAAUUUUCUGUGUGUUACUUUUUGUUAAAAAGCCUAAAUUAAAAUGUAAUAACAUCCUGUUUAAUGUCAGGUUUCAUUGUGACAACCUGCCCCAUACAAAUGUCAACAUGCGUUAACUGAACCGGAAAAUAAUUUUGGGAGGAGUUUAUUCUUACUCAUAAUACAAACCAACAGCUGCUUAUCUCACGCCUCCAUCCACCUCCACAAACCCCACCUUGUCCUUGUUUUAUCACUGCUAUGUAUUAACCAACUCUUGAAGGCUUUCAUGCUAUUUAUUAUAUAUACUGAAAUAAAUACCGUGACAGCUAGCCUCGGCCUUCCUUUUCUGUAAUAAUAAGGCAAACGUAACACAGACAAAAUACUCACUGUUUGGUUUUUGCUCCAUGCUGUCUCUGCGAAUAAUCUUCAGUGAUUCUUUAGACUUUGAGUCUUUCUCUCUGCUGCCCAUCUCUCAUUUAAUGCCUUUAUCUCUUCUCACAUGUGAUCUGUCACAUAUCACCGUCCCUCCACAAUCUCCUCUAGAAUGUAAAAAGUGAAUCGAUGAGGAGCAGAAACAUCCACAUCAGCUCUGUGUGUUACUGAAAAUCCUGUAAUAUCUCCCUGAUGACUGAAGAGAACAGAACAAGAGCUCAGAGAGAAGAAAUGCACCGAGAGAGACAGAGAGCGAUAAUGAAAAGGGUUUAGUGAGACCUGUGCUGUCAUAUGCCACCC
Molecule: long non-coding RNA, 1401 nt
Organism: Cyprinus carpio carpio
Lineage: Eukaryota; Metazoa; Chordata; Actinopteri; Cypriniformes; Cyprinidae
Source: Ensembl